UCUGCACACUGAGCCUCUCCCAUCAACC
RNAcentral lists this non-coding RNA (28 nucleotides) under Mus musculus (house mouse). Lineage: Eukaryota; Metazoa; Chordata; Mammalia; Rodentia; Muridae. The record is from RNAcentral.